UGAUUUCUUCAAUUUCAUCUCAUCAAUCCGACCACCUGCUUAGGUUUUCCUCAAAAGUACAUCAUGGCGAUGGAAUCAGGCAAAAGCAGGUGUCAAGUUUCAGACUCCGGCAUCAAACUCAAGGUUGAACAUGGGAGUUGAUCCUGUUUUAGCUGGGUUUUGCUUGACAAAGAAUUCGUUGUUUGUUCAUUGGAUCUUCUUUCUUGACUGACUGAAGGUUAUGGUAGUGGAAUAGAGAGUCUGAUAGUUGAGGAGACAAUUAUUUGGGAGAAGUCGAAGGAGGAGAAGUCGAAGCAGGAGCCAUAGUCCUCAGAGGCACCGUGGUUACGACGAGCGUGGCAGUCGUGGUUCAGGAAGAAGAGGUGAUUGCGAUCAUCACGAUAGUGACAGAGACAGGGGCAGUAGGAGGCUCAGAAGCAGCAGGAGUCCACCUCGAAGAGGGGGACGCAGCAGAAGUCCAGGUGCAAAGAGAAACCGAAGCCCAGUUAGGGAAGGAAGUGUUGAGAGGAGGGCAAAGAUCGAGCAGUAGAACCAAGAAAGGGAGCAAGCCGACUCCCGCCCGAAAGCCGCCAAUGAUGAAAAUAACGAUGGGCCCGCUGCUGCUUCGCCAAAUGGAGAUCAUCAUCCUUUACGAAUAUGUUUUAAUGCAGGUAUUGAGUGGUGAGACAGAGUCUGUAAAGGCCACAUGGAAGCUAAGGUGUUAGCUACUUGUAACCCUUAUUUUCCAUUUUAAAAUGCACGUUAUCGCCUUAUCGGUUUCGUUCAAAGCCGGAUUGGAUCCCCACAAUAUGAAGCUAAUCAUUUAGAAACUUUGAUUUGUAGGACUUAUCUUAACCUCCCUUGGAGGCCUCUUAUUUCCGUUGAUGGGACUGCGGUCUAUGAUUUGGACAAUCAGUUUAGAGGGUGGCAGCGGUGGUGUUGUCAUGUUAAAUGCUGUGGUGGCAUCAACAUCGACUGGUAAGUGACCCUCCUUGCUCUAACAUGAUUGUAGUCCUUUGGUGGCGCUAUAUUUUGCGUUUCCCUGUAUAAAUUUCAGCUCCCUCUUCUUGUCCUUUUCUAUUUCAUUCUUCAUCUAGCUUUCUUUAAUGAAAUGGUGAAUCAUGUUUACUUAUUGUGUUAAGUAAAUUAGAAUGAUCUCUACCAGUUAAAUUUUGAAGACAAAGACGUAUGGUCUAAACUAAAAUGACUUUUAGCUAGGUGUAUAAGUGCCUCUCUUUAAAAAAAUGAUGAAUAAUUUUAUUCUAUGUUGACUUCUUUCAAUUCUUGGAAAGCCCAAAAUGCUCGGUGAUCACCAACGAUAAAGGUUUUUGGUCGUGUCACCUGACAUUG
RNAcentral lists this long non-coding RNA (1329 nucleotides) under Helianthus annuus (common sunflower). RNAcentral describes it as "hypothetical non coding rna". Lineage: Eukaryota; Viridiplantae; Streptophyta; Magnoliopsida; Asterales; Asteraceae. The record is from RNAcentral.